AUGCAUUGAUGAUCCCCCAUGCGUGUCAUCUGAUGCUCCCUACCCUUCCCUUCGGGGAGGGUGGGUCCUAGCACUGAUCACACCUUUUCCAUACUGAGAAU
Alligator mississippiensis (American alligator) is the source of this 101-nucleotide small nucleolar RNA. It matches the Rfam family "Small nucleolar RNA SNORD10". NCBI's taxonomy places the organism in Eukaryota, Metazoa, Chordata, Crocodylia, Alligatoridae. The record is from Rfam.